RNAcentral lists this ribosomal RNA (253 nucleotides) under uncultured bacterium. Its description in RNAcentral is "partial 16S ribosomal RNA". It matches the Rfam family "Bacterial small subunit ribosomal RNA", at positions 524 to 776 of the family's 1533-position model. The record is from RNAcentral.
UACAGAGGGUGCUAGCGUUGUUCGGAAUUAUUGGGCGUAAAGGGCAGGUAGGUGGUUUGAUAAGUCUGCUGUGAAAUCCCUGGGCUUAACCCAGGACUUGCAGUGGAUACUGUCAGACUAGAGUGCCGGAGGGGUGCGUGGAAUUCCGAGUGUAGCGGUGAAAUGCGUAGAUAUUCGGAGGAACACCAGAGGCGAAAGCGGCGCACUGGACGGUAACUGACACUCAACUGCGAAAGCGUGGGGAUCAAACAGG